This 99-nucleotide transfer RNA is filed under the name Pseudopimelodus sp. TNHC 29345. RNAcentral's name for it is "partial tRNA-Pro". The stretch from base 1 to 71 matches the Rfam family "tRNA". From Rfam's summary of the family: Transfer RNA (tRNA) molecules are approximately 80 nucleotides in length. Their secondary structure includes four short double-helical elements and three loops (D, anti-codon, and T loops). Lineage: Eukaryota; Metazoa; Chordata; Actinopteri; Siluriformes; Pseudopimelodidae. The record is from RNAcentral.
CCCUAGUAGCUUAGAAACAAAGCAUUGGUCUUGUAAUCCAAAGAUCGAAGGUUUAAGUCCUUCCUAGCGCCAGAAAAAAGAGAUUUUAACUCUCACCCC